GACGAACGCUGGCGGCGUGCUUAACACAUGCCAGUCGAACGGAAAGGCCCUGCUUUUGUGGGGUGCUCGAGUGGCGAACGGGUGAGUAACACGUGAGUAACCUGCCCUUGACUUUGGGAUAACUUCAGGAAACUGGGGCUAAUACCGGAUAGGAGCUCCUGCUGCAUGGUGGGGGUUGGAAAGUUUCGGCGGUUGGGGAUGGACUCGCGGCUUAUCAGCUUGUUGGUGGGGUAGUGGCUUACCAGGGCUGUGACGGGUAGCCGGCCUGAGAGGGUGACCGGCCACAUUGGGACUGCGAUACGGCCCAGACUCCUACGGGAGGCAGCAGUGGGGAAUCUUGCACAAUGGGCGGAAGCCUGAUGCAGCAACGCCGCGUGCGGGAUGACGGCCUUCGGGUUGUAAACCGCUUUCGCCUGUGACGAAGCGUGAGUGACGGUAAUGGGUAAAGAAGCACCGGCUAACUACGUG
RNAcentral lists this ribosomal RNA (468 nucleotides) under uncultured bacterium. Its description in RNAcentral is "partial 16S ribosomal RNA". It matches the Rfam family "Bacterial small subunit ribosomal RNA", at positions 28 to 507 of the family's 1533-position model. The record is from RNAcentral.